AUACGGAGGGUGCAAGCGUUAAUCGGAAUUACUGGGCGUAAAGCGCGCGUAGGCGGUUUAGUCAGUCAGAUGUGAAAGCCCCGGGCUCAACCUGGGAACUGCAUUUGAUACUGCUGAACUAGAGUAUGGUAGAGGGAAGUGGAAUUCCGGGUGUAGCGGUGAAAUGCGUAGAUAUCCGGAGGAACACCAGUGGCGAAGGCGACUUCCUGGACCAAUACUGACGCUGAGGUGCGAAAGCGUGGGUAGCAAACAGGAUUAGAAACCCCAGUAGUAC
RNAcentral lists this ribosomal RNA (274 nucleotides) under uncultured bacterium. Its description in RNAcentral is "partial 16S ribosomal RNA". It matches the Rfam family "Bacterial small subunit ribosomal RNA", at positions 523 to 796 of the family's 1533-position model. The record is from RNAcentral.